GUGGGGAAUUUUGGACAAUGGGCGCAAGCCUGAUCCAGCAAUGCCGCGUGCAGGAAGAAGGCCUUCGGGUUGUAAACUGCUUUUGUACGGAACGAAACGGUACUGGUUAAUACCUGGGGCUAAUGACGGUACCGUAAGAAUAAGCACCGGCUAACUACGUGCCAGCAGCCGCGGUAAUACGUAGGGUGCGAGCGUUAAUCGGAAUUACUGGGCGUAAAGCGUGCGCAGGCGGUGCUGUAAGACAGGCGUGAAAUCCCCGGGCUCAACCUGGGAAUUGCGCUUGUGACUGCAGUGCUGGAGUACGGCAGAGGGGGAUGGAAUUCCGCGUGUAGCAGUGAAAUGCGUAGAUAUGCGGAGGAACACCGAUGGCGAAGGCAGUCCCCUGGGCCUGUACUGACGCUCAUGCACGAAAGCGUGGGGAGCAAACAGGAUUAGAUACCCUUGUAGUCC
This 450-nucleotide ribosomal RNA is filed under the name uncultured bacterium. Its description in RNAcentral is "partial 16S ribosomal RNA". It matches the Rfam family "Bacterial small subunit ribosomal RNA", at positions 354 to 796 of the family's 1533-position model. The record is from RNAcentral.